This 558-nucleotide ribosomal RNA is filed under the name Triticum aestivum (bread wheat). RNAcentral describes it as "partial small subunit ribosomal RNA". The record is from RNAcentral. Lineage: Eukaryota; Viridiplantae; Streptophyta; Magnoliopsida; Poales; Poaceae.
AUGAACAAUCUCCUUUGUGCUCCGUUCUCGGAGGAGGAGGUAUCUAAUGCUCUUUUUCAAAUCGGUCCUCUUAAAGCGCCAGGGACGGAUGGUCUCCCGGAGAGAUUUUUCCAACGGAAUUGGGCCGUGAUGAAAUCUGAAAUUAUAGUUGAUGUCCUGGAGUUCUUUAAUUCAGGAAUUAUGCCUGACGGGGUGAACGACACGGCUAUUGUUCUUAUCCCGAAAAUUCCUUUCCCAAAGGAACUCAAGGAUUUUAGACCGAUAAGCCUAUGCAACAUCAUUUAUAAGAUUGUGUCAAAAUGCUUGGUGAACAGGCUAAGGCCGAUGCUUGCGGAGUUAAUAUCAGAGAAUCAGAGUGCCUUUGUCCCAGGAAGGCUUAUCUCUGACAACUCUAUAAUUGCUUUUGAGUGCCUUCAUCAUAUACAGUCGUUGAAACAAAACAGGCAGGCAGCGUGUGCUUACAACCUUGAUUUGUCAAAGGCAUAUGAUCAUGUCAACUGGGAUUUUUUGGAGAAAGCACUUGGUAAAUGGGGAUCUCGUGGAUUAUGGUUUGUGUGA